CAACCACUGCUCACCGUCUUCUAAUUUCUAAAGAUUCUCUCGUGUGCGGCUAAACGUAGUUUGUCCUCGAGAUCCACAUGCAGCGACUGGUCAUCGUUGUCUGCCUGUUGGUGGCGCUGUCUGUUCUAUACACUGAAGGCUUGAUUUUCGAUAUGAUUAAGGGGACGAACGGUGAACACGAGACUAAUUCGCUGUCGAAUAUAAAAAGAAAUGUGAAAGAAGAUAUUUUCACAGCAAAGCGGGCAGUGAGGGGAGCUGGUCCAUACCCGGUAUCUUUGGUGAAAAACAAAAGAGUGUCAAUCAAACGGUUUCAACCACCACCAGAAGAUGAAUCCCCCUAGGGAGCAGUGAUGUCAGAUGUCAAAGGUCAGAGGUUGGAGCGCUGCUGACAGAAUUUCCCCAGGACUAAAGGCAUUUUCUGCAGAAAUGUCAUGAUGCACCUUGUUUUAAAGUUCUAAAAGUGUGAACUUCGAACGAUCUAAUAAAGAAUAAAGAGAUCACAGAACAAGA
This 510-nucleotide long non-coding RNA is filed under the name Pomacea canaliculata. RNAcentral's name for it is "uncharacterized LOC112559989". Lineage: Eukaryota; Metazoa; Mollusca; Gastropoda; Architaenioglossa; Ampullariidae. The record is from RNAcentral.